Molecule: ribosomal RNA, 253 nt
Filed under: uncultured bacterium
Lineage: Bacteria
Description: partial 16S ribosomal RNA
Rfam family: Bacterial small subunit ribosomal RNA
Source: RNAcentral
UACGGGGGGGGCAAGCGUUGUUCGGAAUUACUGGGCGUAAAGGGCUCGUAGGCGGCCAACUAAGUCAGACGUGAAAUCCCUCGGCUUAACCGGGGAACUGCGUCUGAUACUGGAUGGCUUGAGUUUGGGAGAGGGAUGCGGAAUUCCAGGUGUAGCGGUGAAAUGCGUAGAUAUCUGGAGGAACACCGGUGGGGAAGGCGGCAUCCUGGACUAACACUGACGCUGAGGAGCGAAAGCCAGGGGAGCAAACGGG